RNAcentral lists this unclassified non-coding RNA (326 nucleotides) under Hevea brasiliensis (rubber tree). The record is from RNAcentral. Lineage: Eukaryota; Viridiplantae; Streptophyta; Magnoliopsida; Malpighiales; Euphorbiaceae.
AUCUCGAUAUCUCACUCCCAACAGCUCUGGCUCAAAUUCCUUUCCUUCAUGGAUCUUGAUGUCCUUGGAGCUAUCAGUAAAUCUGAUCGGUUGUGUAUUCUCUGCUUCAAGUUAAUGACCAGAACAUAUGAACACAAAUCCAGAACCUUUAGUGGUGGAGAUGAAAAUGCCAUAUAUCAAUCUCUUUAGAACUACCAGUGUGUUGGCCUGGGUUGGGGAUUAAAGCCCCACAUAAUGUAAUUUAUUGAUUCUAAUAGUUUAAUAAUGUAACUGUGGAGUAAUACCUCCAUCUUCAGAGCUGUCCUACACCAAAAUACUUGUGAACA